Molecule: ribosomal RNA, 425 nt
Filed under: uncultured eukaryote
Lineage: Eukaryota
Description: bacterial SSU rRNA
Rfam family: Eukaryotic small subunit ribosomal RNA
Source: RNAcentral
GGAUGAGGUUACCUGGAAAAAAUCGGGGCGAUCUAGGCGGGCGAACCUCGCCAACGAACGAUCGGACAUGGGAUAACGGAAGAGGGCGUCGGCUCGACUUCGUCGGUUCCUCGGGCCGAGGCACGUACGGUGAAUAGGGACGGUCGGGGCCGCCCGUACCGGGUCGUGAGAGGUGAAAUUCUAGGAUCGACCCGAGACGAACCGCCGCGAAAGCAUUCGGCAAGGACGCUUUCAUUAAUCAAGAACGAAAGUCGGGGGAUCGAAGACGAUCAGAUACCGUCGUAGUCCCUACCGUAAACGAUGCCGACCGAGGGCCCGGAGGAGUUACGUACGACCCUCCGGGCCCUCCCGCGAGAAAUCAGGAGUAUUCGGGUUCCGGGGGAGUAUGGUCGCAAGGCCGAAACUUAAAGGAAUUGACGGAAGGG